GUUAAAAAGCUCGUAGUUGGAUUUCGGAAUGGGCCAGUUGGUCCGCCUCACGGUGUGUUACUGGCUGGUCUGUUCUUCUUCGCAAAGACUGCGUGUGCUCUUUACUGAGUGUACGUAGGAUUUACGACGUUUACUUUGAAGAAAUUAGAGUGUUCAAAGCAGGCAUACCGCUUGAAUACAUGAGCAUGGAAUAAUGGAAUAGGACUUUGGUCUUAUUUUGUUGGUUUCUGAGACCGAAGUAAUGAUUAAGAGGGACAGUUGGGGGCAUUCGUAUUUCGUUGUCAGAGGUGAAAUUCUUGGAUUUACGAAAGACGAACAAUUGCGAAAGCAUUUGCCAAGAAUGUUUUCACUAAUCAAGAACGAAAGUUAGAGGAUCGAAGACGAUCAGAU
Molecule: ribosomal RNA, 390 nt
Filed under: uncultured marine eukaryote
Lineage: Eukaryota
Description: SSU rRNA
Rfam family: Eukaryotic small subunit ribosomal RNA
Source: RNAcentral